CCUACGGGACGCAGCAGCGGGGAAUAUUGGACAAUGGGCGAAAGCCUGAUCCAGCAAUGCCGCGUGUGUGGAGAAGGUCUUCGGAUUGUAAAGCACUUUCGACGGGGACGAUGAUGACGGUACCCGUAGAAGAAGCCCCGGCUAACUUCGUGCCAGCAGCCGCGGUAAUACAAAGGGGGCUAGCGUUGCUCGGAAUGACUGGGCGUAAAGGGCGCGUAGGCGGUUUAUGCAGUCAGAUGUGAAAUUCCCGGGCUUAACCUGGGAACUGCAUUUGAGACGCAUAGACUAGAGGUCGAGAGAGGGUUGUGGAAUUCCCAGUGUAGAGGUGAAAUUCGUAGAUAUUGGGAAGAACACCGGUGGCGAAGGCGGCAACCUGGCUCGAUACUGACGCUGAGGCGCGAAAGCGUGGGGAGCAAACAGGAUUAGAUACCCUCGUAGUC
This 440-nucleotide ribosomal RNA is filed under the name uncultured bacterium. Its description in RNAcentral is "bacterial SSU rRNA". It matches the Rfam family "Bacterial small subunit ribosomal RNA", at positions 338 to 795 of the family's 1533-position model. The record is from RNAcentral.